CCCUUAGAUGUUCUGGGCCGCACGCGUGCUACACUGAGUGGAUCAGCGGGUCAGGUUGCGCGAAAGCGUUUCCUAAUCUUUAAAUCCGCUCGUGAUGGGGAUUGACGGUUGCAAUUUUCUGUCAUGAACGAGGAAUACCUUGUAAGCGCGGGUCAUCAUCCCGCGCUGAAUACGUCCCUGCCCUUUGUACACACCGCCCGUCGCUCCUACCGAUUGAGUGGUCCGGUGAGGCUUUGGGAUCUGAGCGGAAAGAGCGUUUCGCUGUUUCUGCUCGGAAAACUCAGUCGAACCUUAUCAUUGAGAGGAAGGAGAAGGCGUAACA
This 322-nucleotide ribosomal RNA is filed under the name uncultured eukaryote. Its description in RNAcentral is "partial 18S ribosomal RNA". It matches the Rfam family "Eukaryotic small subunit ribosomal RNA", at positions 1470 to 1796 of the family's 1831-position model. The record is from RNAcentral.